GUGUCAGCAGCCGCGGUAAUACGUAGGGGGCUAGCGUUAUCCGGAUUCAUUGGGCGUAAAGCGCGCGUAGGCGGCCCGUUAAGUCAGAUGUGAAAACCGUGGGCUCAACCCGCGGCCUGCAUCUGAAACUGGCGGGCUUGAGUCUGGUAGAGGAAAGUGGAAUUCCCAGUGUAGCGGUGAAAUGCGCAGAUAUUGGGAGGAACACCAGUGGCGAAGGCGGCUUUCUGGGCCACGACUGACGCUGAGGCGCGAAAGCUAGGGGAGCGAACAGGAUUAGAUACCCUGGUAGUCCUAGCCGUAAACGAUGGGCACUAGGUGUGGGGGGUCACCAACUCCCUCCGUGCCGCAGCUAACGCAUUAAGUGCCCCGCCUGGGGAGUACGGCCGCAAGGCUAAA
Molecule: ribosomal RNA, 396 nt
Filed under: uncultured bacterium
Lineage: Bacteria
Description: bacterial SSU rRNA
Rfam family: Bacterial small subunit ribosomal RNA
Source: RNAcentral